AUUGAACGCUGGCGGCAGGCCUAACACAUGCAAGUCGAACGGUAACAGGAAGAAGCUUGCUUCUUUGCUGACGAGUGGCGGACGGGUGAGUAAUGUCUGGGAAACUGCCUGAUGGAGGGGGAUAACUACUGGAAACGGUAGCUAAUACCGCAUAACGUCGCAAGACCAAAGAGGGGGACCUUCGGGCCUCUUGCCAUCGGAUGUGCCCAGAUGGGAUUAGCUAGUAGGUGGGGUAACGGCUCACCUAGGCGACGAUCCCUAGCUGGUCUGAGAGGAUGACCAGCCAAACUGGAACUGAGACACGGUCCAGACUCCUACGGGAGGCAGCAGUGGGGAAUAUUGCACAAUGGGCGCAAGCCUGAUGCAGCCAUGCCGCGUGUAUGAAGAAGGCCUUCGGGUUGUAAAGUACUUUCAGCGGGGAGGAAGGGAGUAAAGUUAAUACCUUUGCUCAUUGACGUUACCCGCAGAAGAAGCACCGGCUAACUCCGUG
This 490-nucleotide ribosomal RNA is filed under the name uncultured bacterium. RNAcentral describes it as "partial 16S ribosomal RNA". It matches the Rfam family "Bacterial small subunit ribosomal RNA", at positions 30 to 507 of the family's 1533-position model. The record is from RNAcentral.